RNAcentral lists this ribosomal RNA (469 nucleotides) under uncultured Helicobacter sp. Its description in RNAcentral is "partial 16S ribosomal RNA". Lineage: Bacteria; Pseudomonadati; Campylobacterota; Epsilonproteobacteria; Campylobacterales; Helicobacteraceae. The record is from RNAcentral.
CACGGAGUUAGCCGGUGCUUAUUCGUUAGAUACCGUCAUAAUCUUCUCUAACAAAAGGAGUUUACAAUCCUAAAACCUUCAUCCUCCACGCGGCGUUGCUGCUUCAGGGUUUCCCCCAUUGAGCAAUAUUCCCUACUGCUGCCUCCCGUAGGAGUCUGGACCGUGUCUCAGUUCCAGUGUGUCCGAUCACCCUCUCAGGCCGGAUACCCGUCAUAGCCUUGGUGAGCCAUUACCUCACCAACAAGCUGAUAGGACAUAGGCUGAUCCUUUAGCGAAAAACUUUCCCCCGUAGGGAGUAUCCAGUAUUAAUCACCGUUUCCAGUGGCUAUCCCAGACUAAAGGGCACAUAACCUAUGCAUUACUCACCCGUGCGCCACUAAUCCACUUCUAGCAAGCUAGAAGAUUCAUCGUUCGACUUGCAUGUAUUAGGCACGCCGCCAGCGUUCACUCUGAGCCAGGAUCAAACUCU